Molecule: ribosomal RNA, 277 nt
Filed under: uncultured bacterium
Lineage: Bacteria
Description: partial 16S ribosomal RNA
Rfam family: Bacterial small subunit ribosomal RNA
Source: RNAcentral
GACGAACGCUGGCGGCGUGCUUAACACAUGCAAGUCGAGCGAGGUCCAACCUGCCGCAAGGCAGGGGAAGAUCUAGCGGCGAACGGGUGAGUAACACGUGAGCAACCUGCCCCGAAGACCGGGAUAACACCGGGAAACCGGUGCUAAUACCGGAUACCCUCAGAGAGUCGCAUGGCUCACUGAGGAAAUGGAUUCCGCUUCGGGAGGGGCUCGCGGCCUAUCAGCUUGUUGGUGGGGUAACGGCCCACCAAGGCGACGACGGGUAGCUGGUCUGAGA